UACGGGGGGGGCAAGCGUUGUUCGGAAUUACUGGGCGUAAAGGGCGCGUAGGCGGUUCGCUAAGUUGGAUGUGAAAACUCUGGGCUCAACCCAGAGCCUGCAUCCAAAACUGGCGGGCUAGAGUUCUGGAGGGGAUAGCGGAAUUCCUGGUGUAGCGGUGAAAUGCGCAGAUAUCUGGGGGAAGGCCGGCGGCGAAGGCGCCAUUCUGGGAAAUUCCUGACACUGAGGCACGAAAGCGUGGGGAGCAAACAGG
This 253-nucleotide ribosomal RNA is filed under the name uncultured bacterium. Its description in RNAcentral is "partial 16S ribosomal RNA". It matches the Rfam family "Bacterial small subunit ribosomal RNA", at positions 524 to 776 of the family's 1533-position model. The record is from RNAcentral.